RNAcentral lists this long non-coding RNA (27508 nucleotides) under Oryza sativa (Asian cultivated rice). RNAcentral's name for it is "long non-coding RNA (OSAT_LNC000385)". Lineage: Eukaryota; Viridiplantae; Streptophyta; Magnoliopsida; Poales; Poaceae. The record is from RNAcentral.
CACCUGCAGCGCGACGUACCCGGCGGCGACGUCCUGCCUGAGCGCGUCGGCGACGAAGCCCGCCACGGGGACGGACUCGCCGGAGAGCACGGGCGACCAGAUGGUGACGUCGCGGUGGCCCUGGUAGGUCGGCGGGAGGGAGACGGGCACCGUGACGGGUUCGUCGCGGUAGGUGACGAAGACGUCGAGGCGGCGGUAGUGGACGCCGACGUGGUCAUUGGGGUUGCGGGAGGCGAGGGUGACCUGCGCGGUGGCGGAGAGGGAGGGGUCGCCGAGGUCGACGGAGCGGAGCUGGAGGUCCUGCAGGUAGAAGGACGGCUUGGAGGGGCGGAGCGCGAGGUAGACGACGAGCGCGAUGAAGCCGACGACGAGGACCAGCGCCAGGAUGCACGCCGCCAUCCCGCCGCAGCAUCGCCGGAGGUGGUGCUCCCGCUUGUGGUGCUUCUCCUUGCUCAUGGCGGCGGCGACGGCGGCGGCGGCGGCGCGAGCUAGCUUAGCUACGAGUAGUAGAGUGAGAGAGUGAGCUGCGAGCUGUUGCUGAGUGAGAGAGAGAGAGAGAGAGGGGCGUUAGAUAUGAAAGCGAGUAAGAGAGUAAUAAUGGCUUUUAAGAUUAGUGGAGCGAACGAAUUGAAUUUAAGUGUCCGUACUCAAAGAAAGAAAAGGGUUUUAAAAUUUCGCCUUUGAAAUUUGAGUAAAGUGCACGUGCAGUAUUUAAACUUGUAGGGGUGUGUCAUAUAGGUCGCUAAACUCUCAAAAUGCAUAUCUAAGUACCAGAACUUGUCAUAGUGUGUCAUCUAGGUCCCAAAUCACCACAACCCCUUUAGAAUCCUACGUGGCGUUGAUGUGGCAUGCCACACAGACAUGACGUGUUUUGAGAUAAGUUUUGGGACCUGGAUACACUUUGACAAGUUUUGGUACCUAGAUAUGCAUUUUGACAAUUUUUGGGAUCUAUAUGACACAACUGUACAAGUUUAAGGACUGUAAAUGCAUUUUACUCUUUAAAUUUUGAAGGGAAUUGAAGCUAGCUAGAGAGGCAGAGAGCUCUGGAUCGAAAGCUACGUCUCAACCGAAGAAGAUUCUUUCGAUCGUUGUGCUUGGGGUUGUUCUUUAUGCUAUGCUAUGCUAGGUAACCUCUUGUAGAUGAUCUGAUGGGCCAUCGGUUACUGGUUUGGGGGCGAUUUCUGCAUGAUCGAUCAAUCUGCCUUUAGAUUUGUGCCCCACUGCAUGUGUGUUUCCUUUGCGCGCUUAGGAUGGAUCGAGGCUCGAUCGUGUGCUAAUUCGGUGCUUUUAAGUAAGUUUUACUCAAACUUGUUAAUUUGGUCAACGUAUAGGACGGCAAUGGAAUUAUGCUAUUGUUUCCAACUUUUUGGGUUGGUGAUCUCAAGACAUGCACGCACACCCACCACUUAAUCUGAAAACUCAAUAAUUUUCAGCAUGCAUAUGAAGAAAAAUGAGAUAACUAAAAUUUUACGCAUCUGUCAUACACACACACACCCCAUGCAUCUAACUAUAGUCUCACACUCUCACUGUGUGUGUACAUAUUAUUUUUCGAUAAUGUAAUUGGAUCCAAUUUCACUGCAUAUAUGAAAUUGUUGGAAUACGAAGUACCCAUUGUAUCUUACUAUUUUCACUGCAUUCAUUAUUAAUAGAGAAGAAAACAGUGAGAUAACCUGUAUUUGUACGGAUUCAAACUCAGGAUGACGCAUUGCUCAUGCAUGGCAUCCCCUACAAGCAGAACUAGCGAUUGUUCAUGGUAACACCCAUUAUUGAUAGAGAAGAAAACGGUGAUAUAAGAUGUGCAUAUAUGAGGGCACGUAUUGUGUCAUACACCUAUGGAAUAAUAAUGACACGAGACCGCUUGACUAUACUAGCUAGCAAGUUCACCGUACUUGGUUUUCAUAAAAAAACUUUUGUUUUAGACAAGAUCUGGUCAAGUUUUUUUUUGAAAAAAAAUCAAAUCCAUUUUUAAAAUUUGGACAGAAAAGCGAGCAAUUUAUAUUCUCGAGCCAGUCAAAAAGUUCAAUUUUAACUAAAAAUUAAUCCUGUCUUCGUAGGUGAACCAGGACGGCUCCCCCCUAACAGACUUCAGUACAGGCAGUCGUGGAGUUACCCACUCGGUCCGCUCGUGCAGUAGGAGUGCCUGUAAAAAAAAUCAUUUUUCAAUAGUGCGUCCGGUUUUCGUCGGUUUUGUAAAGGAAAAAGUAUGAAUUACCCCCCGAACUAUAACAGUCGAUCGAAUUACCCCUUGAACAACAAAACCGGACAUUUUACACUACCGGACAAAUUAACCCCCCCCCAAGCACUAUUCUGAGUGGUUUUGGCUUAAGCUUGCACACGUGGCGGCAACGUUGCAAUCCAGUCAGCAAAUAAAAAAUAAAAAAGCGUUCGGGCCCACCUAUCAUCCCCAAAUCUCUCUCUCUCUCUCCAUCUCUAUCUCUCUCUCCCUCGGGCGACCGGCGGUUGACGGUGGAGGCGGACCUCGCUCCGCGCGGGGAUGGGAAGCGGAUGGCGGUGCGUGGGAGGCUGCGGCGUGGGUGCGCGAGGACGGGCGGUGGGCGGCAGCACGCGGAGGCGGGCGCGGCUGGGUGGGCGAGGUGAGGAUGGCAAGGACGGGAGAGGCGAGCGCUGCUGGGACGGACGAGAAGAGUGCGGCGGGGACGGGCGAGGUGAGCGCGGCGGCGGGGAACAUCUGCACUAUAUCGGUCGAAGACGAUGAACUCCGAUUUCUCUCUCGCAAGCGCUCAGGUGGCCGGCUGUGGCGGUGGAGGCGGAGUCGCCCAGGCGGUUGGUGGUGGCGGCGGAGGUGGACCGGACAGUGGGUGAUGGUGGCGGAGGCGGACAGGGCGGCCGGUUACGGAGGCGUGGCUCGCCCGGGCAGAGAGAGGAAGAGGGGAAGGAGAGAUAUGACAGGUGGGUCCCACAUCUAUUAUAUUAUUAAAGGAAUAGAAAAAGGAGCCUCCACGUUCGCUCUCAUGGCGUAGAAAUUCGCACAUUAAUCGGAGAAAAAGAAAAAGUAGAGUCCAUAUAGAAAUACUACAAUUUAGAAAUAGUUGAAAUUCAGAAUUAAAAAUAAGGAAUAUUAGAAUAAAAUUAAAUUUAGAGUAUAUGAAUUUAAAACUAACUAAAAUUUAAAAUAAAUAUAAUAAAAUUAAAAGUAGAGUUUAGAGUCCGUAUAAAAAUACAAUUUACAAAUAACUAAAAUUCGAAAUUAAGAAAAACAUGGGAAGAAGUCAAUAUAGUAAUACAAUUUAGAAGUAACUGAAAUUCGAAAUUAAAAAUUAAAGAAUAUUGAAAGAUGAGUUUAAAGUCCACACAGAAAUACAAUUAGAAAUAAUAAAAAUUCAGAAAUAAAAAUAAAUAAUAUUGGAAGAAGAGCAUAGAGUCUAUAUAGAAAUAAUUCAUAGAAAAUUCAAAAUUUUUUAAAAAAUAAAUAUUAAAAGACGAGUCUAAAACCUAUAUAGGAAUAUAUAUAAUUUACAAAUAACUAAAAUUUGAUAUUAAAAAUAAUUAAUAACAAACACGUAUAUAAAAUACAAUACGGGUGUUAUACAUUAGUAGUUUUGUAAAGUUAUUGCAAAAUUUAAAAUUAUGUUGUCAUUUUAAUAUAUUUGAAUAAUAUAAUAAAAAAACAUAUUCUGCUAUUAUAUGAGAGAAAAUAUAAUGAUACUAGCUGCGCAAUCUGCGCGGGCCACCAUGCUAGUUUUUUUUUAAAAAAAUAAAACGCUGAGUGGUUUGCCACGCGUGCGCCACGUAGGAUGAAACCACUCUAGAUUGGGUUGAGGGGGAUAAUUUGUCCUGUAUUGAAAGUUUGGGAUGAGAAAUGUCUGGUUUUCGGGUUUAGAAGGGUAAUUCAAUCGACCGCGAUAGUUAGGGGGGUAAUUCGUACUUUUUUUUUUCUUUUGUAAACCCCUGCUAGCCAGGGUGCCAAAGUAUGUACAGUACUUGGAGGAAGGAGGUUGUUGGGAAGUACGUAGCAGGGGGCAGGCAGGGCAGGCACAGGAAUGAUCGCAUGGACCGGGCGCGGCGGUUGUGAUGUCGCCUCCGGCACAAAACGCCGCGGAAGCAGAUGAUCGAUCGAUAUAGGCCAACCCAAGGGCAUGAUGCGCAUGGCUACUGUACUCAUGUGUAGGUGCAUAAUAUCUUUCGAUUCCCACCGACUCUCCGAUCCAGGGGUGCACUACUGUGCCCUACGCACUGCCUACGGCCAGAUCCCAUCAAAAUUGCAAGCCAGAUGCAGCUAGCAGAGAGUCUGAGUACUGUGCACAUACAAGUGCACAUGCCUAACCGUGACUUUGUAGCUUUCCUUCUUCUCUAUGUGUGUAAAGAUAUACUCCAGUUUAGUACAAAGUAGUACGUAGUAUAUGUUAAUUUCUGGUAUAUAUACACGUAUAACUAACUCGAAUCUUAGAUGCAUCAUGUGGUACUACGUACGUGCACCGUCUUUCAUUUCUGUAGAACGAGUUAACGGUUCAUUAAUUUUGAUUUGGAUAAGCCUGCUGGAUAAGUUUUAAAGUAUACUUCAUCCGUCCCAAAAUAUAAGUAUUUUUAGCAUAAUAAAAAAUCAAACAUUUUCAACUUUGACUAUUAAUAACAAGAAAAAUAAAAAAGAGUAGUCAUGUAAAAUUGAUGUUAGUAGAUUUAUUACUAAACAAACUAUCAUAAUAUUCAUAAUAUUCAUAAUAUGUAACUCUUUUUAUUUAAAAUAUCUUCAUUUUAGUACGGAUGGAGCUAGCUAGCCAAACCCGUCCCUGGAGUAAUUCCCUGUCCUCACCUGCACGGUCUUCAUCUCCCUUUUUUCCUCCUUUUUCUACGAGGUGAUGAGACAUGUUACUUUGCAUAUCUCUCACCAUCCUCAUCGAUCUUCCACAGUUCACGUUGCCGUGCUACUUCUGAUUCCAACCAACUAGGCAUGCAUGUUGUUACAUUACACCCACCAAGGCACCAAUUACCAUCACUUGCAAGUAGUAGUUGCAAAUCCCUCUAUGGCUUUGGUAGCUAGCCAUAUAGUAUGUGUGCAUGCAUCACACUCUUGGUCGCCCUGCAGGCCACUCUCUGCAUAAUGAGCUCUAUGACAAGAACAACUAAUGUCCGGGGAGGAGGCCAUUGCGAUUCAACAAAUUUACAAAGUGACUACAACUUUUAUUUUAUAUAGAAAAAAAAUCCUACUUUAUUUGUAAUUGUAUGCCACUGAUGUAUGUCACUUGGAUUUGUAGCACUGAGACGAUGUCACUAGCCAGCUGGGCUUACCAUAGAGCUUUCAUAUAUCAACAUGCUAAUUAUAAUUAUAUAGCUUGAUUAUGCUAGCUUCUUAUAUAUAGAAUUUUAAAUGUAACGGUGCAAAAGCACUUACAAAUUCAACGGUCUUAUAAGAAAAAGGAAACACAUACGACCCAAAUGACGUACUCUUGGACAUGCAUAUGUCACCUACCGAUACAGUUUCGUUUUUUAAUUUUAAGUUUCGUCCUUUGGUUCAUGACCAAACCUAUCGUCGGCACCAGCUGCUAAUAUAAGCGUGAUGAAUCAUUCGACCUACCAAAUGAGCAUUUAGUACGUGCCCAUUUCCAAUAUGAUCUUUUCCUCCGUAUACGUAAGUGCUGCAAUUAAACAGAUCAACUGGCACAUCCAGUGUUAUUUGGUCCAGUGGCGACGAAAAGUUUGAUCUCAAGAUUACAGAUUAAUUUACAGAGUCUGAUCGAAUACACACAAAUAUAUACUACAGUACUACAUGACUUGUUGAUUCAUUCAUGUGCACAUAUAUAAUGCUGAUCAAACUUAACCAGCAAAAUGUUCUAAAUCGUACUCACUGAUUCUAUGUACGUACAUGCAUGAUUAAUCACGUCUGUUGCACCAAACAGUUUACUUAAUAUACUAGUACAAGUACUUGAAGUUAUAUAUGAGAUUGUGGUAUAUAUAUAUAUUACUCUCUCGGAUCCACUGACUACGAAAAAACGGUGUCCAGGCUAACUAUCGGUUGUUAAUUAAUUUGUGUGAAAUUAACAACCCAGUGGCGGAGUCAAGAAUUUUACCCUGUGGGGUACCAUUGCUUCAUAAUUUAGUGGGAUCAUUUACAUAAAUUUUAGUGAAUUUACAUGUAUAAAUCAAGAGUUACAAUGGUGUAUUGGUGUUUGUGAAAAAGCUGUGGGAACAAGCGAUCCCACAGCCUCAUACAUAGCUCCGAAUAAUUAAUUAACACCUGGAAAUGGUAUAACUAGUUUUUGUGUGGAGAAACACUAACCUGAAUUUAUAUUAAUUAGUACCUAUUUAGGAUUCAUUACAGUAUUCACUUCGAUAGUAAAUAUCGUAUGUAUAAGAUUCAGUCAAACUUUUAAAAUCAUUAUUAUAAUAUUGUGACAUUACUUCUUAAUCCAAAUUUACGCGUACCUUUUUUUUAAAGGAAUUAUCAAGUAUUUAGUAAAUAACAUAUAGAGUUUUAGAGGUUUGACGAAAUCUCUGUCUUACUCAUAUGAUCAGGUAUAGCAUAACAUAGUACUAGUAUCAAAGUCGCACAUGCCAUCUGGUUGGUUGGCUUUGAAAAGUAAAAAAGGAAAAAUAUACUAUGUAGUUUCAUAAUUGUGUUAUGUGGAGAGGCCAAAAUAGAGCAUCUUAGUUAGUGACUAAAUUAUGUACCUGCUUUGUAACAAUAUAUAACGAUUAGGUUUUCUAUCCAUUCAAAAGUUCCUAGAGUUGUUAAAUUUAAAUUUAAAAUUAUGGGCCCAUCAGAUCCGUUAAAUACCUUAUUAGCUGUUACAUUCCUGACAAUUGCACAGAUUAAUUCAUUAAAAUUUGCAAACACCAUUACUUCAUAAUUUAGUGGGAUCAUUUUCAUAAAUUUUAAUGAAUUUACAUGUAAAAACCCAGAGUUACAAUGGUGUGCUAUGUGGAUCGGGGUAGUAGUAGUAGGGGGAAGUCGACCAUUGCACAAAUUAACUGGGCCCAUCUUAUGCCCACAAAACGCAGCACAAGAUGGCCCAAGUUCAUCGCAUUGUCGAUUUGAUCAUUCCGCAGAUUUAGGCCGUGUAUAGUUCUUUUCAAAUUAUUUUUUGAAGUAUAGGGACACAUUUGAAGUAUUAAAUAUAGACUAAUAAUAAAACAAAUUAUAUAUUUCGCCUGUAAACUGCAAACGAAUCUAUUAAGCCUAACUAAUCUGUCAUUAGCAAAUGUUUACUGUAGCACCACAUUGUCAAAUCAUGGUGUAAUUAGACUCAAGAGAUUCGUCUCGUAAUUUACAUGCAAACUGUGCGAUUGUUUUUUUCGUUCAUAUUUAAUGUUUUAUGCACGUGUCCAAACAUUUAAUGUGACGGAAAAGUUAGAAGUUUGAAAAGAACUAAUGCUAAAACAAAAAGGAAAUGAUUUUUUUUUUUUUGCAGGGGGGGGGGUGGGUUGGGGGUGUGCUGACCUUCUAAUAACUAAUUACAAAAACUAGUAAAAGAAUAGAAUAGAAUAUGCCGUGCAAAGGUACAAUUUUAGCGCCAAAAGCGACCAAAACAAGGAUAAUCGGAGGAUCAUGGCCAGCAAGCAUUGCAGCUUCAACUGCAGAGAAAAUAACACCAAAGCACAAGCUGCAAACUCUGACGCUAAACACAGCAAUUUAAGCAAUGCAAAGAUUGCUUCAUCUCAUAUGUGUUCGAUGGAAGUCAUUGCAGAAUUCUACAAAAAAGAUAAAACUUGCAUGAUAACCUCAGCAAAUCUUCCGCGAUAACGACUGAUGUUCUCUCAACUCUCUCCCUCUCUUAAUCUCCCUCUCCUAAAAGAUGGACCCAUAAUAAUAAACCUAUGGUUGGUCAGGUUAGUGAACUGUUAACCACAAACUAAUGAUAUUGCAAGCAAUUCUGUCACAGGUGAAGAUCAGUGCAGGCAAUGUUGGUUGUUGCUGUCAAAUUUUCACAUGCCGUAGCCGCCUCUAGGAGGAACAACAGCGCCGCCGUUCAAGCUGAGCUUUGACAUGUCGAGCAUCUGCCAGUUGAUCGCAGAUGGGUCUCCUCCUCCAAAUGAGUUGGCCUCAAAGCAAGAGGUGACGCUCCUGCUCCUGCGGUGGCGCACUGAGAGCUGCUUCAGCCUCUCGGUUUCCUUCUUCAGCAUCUGCGUUUGGCCUGCGAAAUUCCGUCGAAAACCAUUCAUUGCGAUGCACGAGAUGAUAACAUGAUUUUAACGCGAUUUAACAUAUAGUUCAAGCAAGGCAUAAAAGUUGGCAUUGUCACUUUCAUUUACAAAUGUUAGGACAGCCAAACAUGGAAGAUCAAACCUACGGCAUGAAUGGUGCAAACUAAUGCUUUCGCAACUAUUGACACAACUGAAAGCUUUUGAAGUUAAGAUAUCAAACUGACACGAGCUUCUAGAUAUUUAUGAAUACAAAUCCAAAUUUUAUUCUGUGUUGAUUGUAUCAUAAUGAUUUAAUUGGUAUCCGAACUGAAACAUGCUGAUCAUCAAACAGUACAUCCAACAAAAAUCCAGCUGGAUAGAAGGUUACAAGGCUUGCCCCUGCCCUAACAAUUUGGUAAGUGUAUUAGGCCACCAAACAACUUAGAAGCAACAAUAGAAGACCUCCAGAAUCAAACAUAGUAAAGCACGGAAAUACAAAAUCUGGUGGCCAUUGUAACAUUUAUUGUCAAACUAGCAUUGCAUGAAGCUGGAUGCAUAAGAAUUGCCUUCAUGGCAGGAUGAGCUAUAUCUACGAUUCAUUCUGUAUGAUUCAGGUUUUUUUUUCUGUGACACAUACGAACCUUGUGCACAUAGCUUGGCUAGCUAUAUCUACGAAACAGUAACAAUCCUUCAAAUAACCCGCAUUCAACAUCUGAGCAUAGCUUGCAUGACAGCAAAAGCGUGAAACAUUAUAUAGACCAACAAAAAAUAGUCACAUCAUCUCUGCUACAGACUGAAUUCACCUGUCAUCUUAUUGAACAGAACUACAAUUUAUAACCAAAUGAUAGGUGUUGUUUCUGAAUUGUACUUAGGUAUUGAUUAAAGAGCACGCAAAAUCUAUGUAACUAAACAAGGAUGCAUACUCGAAAAGGUUUAAUUUGUGCUGGCAAUUUAUGAAAGGGCAAACAGAUUGACAUACCAUCCUUAAUUAGUUUUGCCUGCUGAAGACUAGUGAUCUGCCUCCUCAGUUGCUUGUUUUCCAUUGAUAGAGCAUUACGAAGCUGGAAAAGAGAUGCCACCCUCACAGCCAAAUCAGCCCCUAUGUUCUGAAAAUCAGAAAAUAAAUUUAUGCCAUUAAGAGCAGGUACAAUAGCAAGCUAUAAACCGGCUGUAACCAUAUAUUGAGAAGAAAAGAGAAGAGAGAGAAGAAAGCGGGCUACAGAUUUGUAGCCGGCUGCAACACGGACUCCAAGAUGUUAUGUGUGUAUGAGAGGUGGGACCGUGUAUUAAUGGUGUAGUAUAUUUUUAUAGUUAACUAUUGUAUGAAUGAGCUAUUAGAUUGGCUAUAGAUGUUUUGGAGCCAGUAGUUGGCUAUACUAUUGACCUUGCUCUAAAGAGUUAAGCACUACUUAAUCCAAAAUGGAGUAAUAAUAAGGAUUAACAGCACUACCUGAAGUGAGUCAACAGUUCUCUCAAGAUCAGCAAUGUAUUGAAGUUUUCUGACCCUUGAUCUUUGGCCUGAGCGCCUGCACAGAUGUUAACAUGUCAUCUCGAUAUUCAGACACAUUCUAUUGUUCUUAAUAUCUAGAGCAGAAUUUUCAACAGUUGACGAAAUUCAGUUUCAUGUAUGAAAUAUGACAAUAGUACAUGAAAAGAAUCUACAGAGAUAAGAUGGUCUUGACUUGGUAGCAUCAUGCUUCAUAGAGUUAAAAACUUAGUAAUGGAUUUUCAUCAGCAGAAGUGUGGGCAUCAAGAUGGUCAUACUAUCAGCUCCUCAACCACAUAUAUUAUCUAAGAUCUGUCAGUGUUCCAACAGAUACAAUGGGAUGCCCUUGGUAACAGGAUUCUUGCAUAAUUCACUUGUCACAGUUAAAAAGCCUUAGUGCGAGAAAUAGAUCCUUUUUUUAUUCUGAGAACUAGAACCCAAUUGAUAAUCUUUGAAGAAUACAUAUAUCACAGUCCUGAUUUCCAGAUUUUCUGCAGUGCUGUUUCGAUUUCAUGACUGCAAGUUCAAUGAAAGUUGUCACAUCAUUAACACAAGGGCACUCUUUUAAAUGAAUUUCUUGUCAGCGUCAAUAGCUGACACCGUUAUCUUUACUAAGCUCAACUAGUGCCACUAAACAAAUAAACUGUGAACCAAUACCAGACCAAAUUUCUUUAACUUUCUGAAACUUAAAAGACAAACGAAAUGAACCACCAUAUAUGAAAAAUUUGUGAGAAAUGGUCCAAAAAGAAUCCUAAAAUAGAUCUUUCAAAAUCCAGUGCCCGCUUAAAUAUGAGUGUUCAAUGAGCCCAAAGUAGAGAAUUUUGGUCAUGCUCCAAAUUGAAUAUUUGUGUAAAUAAAUAUUAUACCAACAAGUUCACAUAAAAUUAAAGGGCAUGGCUAGUCACGUCAUAUGCCAAAUGCCUCCUCCCUGAUGCUCAUCACCGACCGCUACUCCUCUCAUCCCAAUGUCCCUCAAAACCUCCACCCCAUGCUCCUUCCAGUAACAGCCCACCAUCCAGCCUCACUCACGACUUCAGGUAUAGGUGUCAAGCUCUCAUCCCCAUUUCUUUGCUUCACCUCCUGCAGUACAGCACCACCCUCACCAUCCUCCCACUGCCUCUUAGCCCCACCCAACCUAACUCCAUGAGAUUCCCUUCGUGCCACUUUCUUCCUGAUGUUCAGUGGCUAAGUUCUCCACUCUCCACAUCCUGCCCAAUAACUGCUUCACUGUCAUUGUCACUUCUUGUGACCAGCAGCACCUCACUGCCUCGCCCUCACUCUCCUCCCAUGGCCCCCUAACCACACCCAACCUAACUCCAGCGAGCUUUGUCCGCAACACUACCCAUCUUCCUCAUAUCCGGGUGGCAAUAGCCACCAAUUGCUCCCCCCCCCCCUUUUACUCCAGAAUGACAGGGAGCUCCCCCACCCCCCACCCACAUUGAACUUAACAAGGCCACAGGAGGCAGAGGUUGCAUAUACCCAAUGUGCUAUAGACUAAGCCAAAAAUAUCUUAUAUCUGGAGUUGUUACUGCUGAAUAGCUGAUGAUAGAAACCUUAAAUUGUUAGUGGCAAAGACAAAAGGCAAACAGAAGUCACUAAGAUUAGCGUUCAAGCUUAACCCUCCACUGCAGAAUGCUAUAAUAUAUCAGAUAUACUGGUACAUCGCGUCAGCAUUUGCCAAAACAGCCAACUGUACUGAUUCUCUUUGAUAUAAUACUACCUAGCAAUACAUUCUUUUCACCUGGACUCCCACUUAUAUAUAUGAAAUAGUGAGAGCAUAUUACAUUGGUUACUGUUGAAUUUUGAUUUCAGGGAAUUGAUUUGAAAAGACUUGGAAUCACAAACGCUAUGAACAAUGCACGGCAGAGAAUCAUAAAUAUAAAGCGGUGUACCUUUUAAGUGACUUCUCUUGAUCAGCGUGGCAUACAGCAUCACCUGUGUCUCCAGUUCCAUUGGCUGCACCAACAUUACAGUUCACACCACUUGUGGCAUCAAUCAUCAGGUACUGCAAUGGGUUGCUAGGGACAUUCUCCAAGACAGCGUUAACCAUGGAACUCUCUGAACUGGUCAGCCUAGUCUUCUGUCUCGGCGAAUUUGGUCCAUAAACACAGCUACCUUCGAUGCCAGCACCACUUCCACCCCCUUCAGCCGCAGCAUUGAACGACUCCCCAGCUUCGCCAACCGGCUGCGGAUCCCCUUCAUCGAUAGGGUAGAUUGGGCUCUGGAACGACGUCAGCACAUCCAAGAUAGCAUCAGAAUCGCUGCAGGCUCUCCUGAGAGGAGGAAGGGUGUGGCUCUUCCCGGAGUCCGCGAGGAGAUCAUCGAGCCAGCACGGCGGCUCACCGACGAAUGGAUCCUCCGACGGAAACCUGCAGCUCUGCGUGAACAAGCUGUCGUCCCUCCUUGUGAUCUGAGGACCCAGCGGCGGGCAGCGGGGAGGGAGGUGCGGCGACCGAGACAUGGCGAGAGAACACGCUCCCGACGUCUGUUCACCUCUCUUGUGCUACUUAACUACAGCCCCUCCAACAUCAUCUCCUUUAUCCCGUUCAUCUGCAAAAACCAGAAACACAUAUAGCACAUAAAACAUGUGACAAGAAACACCAAAAACAUCCAGCAAGUACUAGAAAUCAAGGCCCCCUUGUAAACUACAUUGCCGCAGAAACAUUUCCUGUUGCAAAAUAAUAAAAGGAUCGAUCUUCUGUGGGAUCAGAACCCAGUAAGUGAGGACAAACAUCAAAAGGGUGCAACAUGUAAAACAAUUGCAAAUUAAUCUUGAAGCGCAAACUACAGAAGCAAGUGCAGAGGAGGAAGACCUAAUGUGUGGAGGUGGUAAUGGGGGGUUCGGAUGUACACCCAAAAAAAAAAAAACCUUUUUGGUUGGAAACACGAGCAUCUAUCAGUUAAAGGACAUGAAAGAAAUCCCAGAAGAGAACCGAGGCUCGGUUAAUUGCAGGGAAAGCAAAGGAAAACCAAUCCCCCAAGUCCUCCGGAUGGACUCCCAAAACCCACACCACGCCCGGAUCAUCGAGCCGCGCGGCGCCGCGCCAAGGAGAAAAGAGAGAACCUUCGAUUCGAUUCGGUUCGGUUCGAACCGAGGCGGCGGCGUCAGGUAGGUGGCGGUGGAAGGAGGCCGGCGCCGCGUCGCGUGCUCGUCUGCCCCUGCUCGCCGGCAGCGAACGCGCGUGGAGGAGGAGAGGAGGACGUCCGGCCGCUCGCACCGUGCCUGCUGUCGCCGGCGGCGGCGAGUGGGAGGGGAUUCGGGCGGCGGCGCAGGGUGGCGGAGGAGGAGGAGGAGGGAGAGGAGGGGUUCUAGUAGUUUAGGAGGAGGAGGAAUUAUAUUACUCCUAGGAAGGAAAGAAAAAGAAGAAGAAAAAAUGAUUUUAUGUCCCAAAAAGACGGGGCUAGUACGCGGGAUGGGCCAGGCCCAGCAACCACGCCCCAUGCGUGUUUACUCCUCCCCAUUUUUGGCAACCAAAUAUCUCUCGCCUCGCUUUUUGGGCAGAAAGAGAGAUGUAAAAAUAAUACAGUAAUAAUACUGUAAGAGAAAAAUAUCUUGUCUUGAUUUCUCUUAGUAGUUAUUACCAGCCGAGGUAAGAUUAAAUUCACGUCAGGUUCGCAGAAAACACCACGAAAUUACCGUGUUUGAUGAACACGGCUGUGUUCGGGAGGCAAUGUUCCCAACGUUUAUCUCCUGACAUGAAAAACAAAGCUAGGUUAAUUGAGUAUUGGCCUUAAAAAACUUAAAAAAUAGUUAAUAUAAUUUUCUUUUGAAAAACUUUCCUAUAGAAUACUUUUACAAAAUACGUAUUGUUUAGCGGUUUGAAAAACGUGCGUGUGGAAAACGAAUGAGAUGAGCUGAGAAAUAAAGGGGAAGAACACACGGGUUAUACAAAGGUUCACAAUUUUGAUAUCUGAUCAAAAUCUGCUCACAAUCAGGUAUUACCGGUUUUAUAGAAUCCGUUGACAAAAAAACCGAUAAAAUAUGACUAAACUUUGUUAAAAUUUUAAAUUUUAUCUUCAUUUUGUUUGAACUUGAUCGAAAAACCAAGUUGUUUUGUGUUUUUGACCCGGUCCGGAAAUUCGGAUUCCACUGAAUUAUGAACCCUGAUUGCAAUCGAAUUUGGAGCGGAGUUUUACUUAAAAAAAAAAUGACGCGCAGAGUGGAUGCGACGCAAAGCUUCUAGAAGUUUCCGUUUGCUGCACUCCUCAGCUUGAUCACUGCUCACUCACACACAUGCCAUCCGGCCUUCGAAGUUCGAAGUUUUGGAGUCCUCUCGAGUGCACUGCACACAAGGUAAGCUAUGCUCAAGGUUCACCUUUUCGAUUCAGCCUUAACUGUACGAUGGUUUCUGAAAAAUUUCAAUACAAAUUUUGGUCAAGUCUACUGUUUGAAACUUGAAUACUCGAAAAUCGUUCGAAAUAGUAUUUAGGAAUCUGCUUUCGUCCCGCGUGGAAAAGCACACCGAGUGGGCCUCGAAAUGCUUUCCGCUGAUUCCAGUUCACUGUAUUUUUAACUGAACUUUAGGAGCUUUUUAACAGCUCUACGCCUACGAUCUACGAGCUUAAUUGGCACUGGAUUAUUGCCAAGAUGCUGCUAGCUGACAGCCCGAUUCGUAAUUUAACUCCAAAUGGUUGAGCGGAUCGACGACGACGCUGAUGGUGGAGUAAAGAAAAGAAAGGGAGGCGAUAUGUCCGUUGGAUUCCGGGCAGGGCAGACUUGUUCAGUUGCUGCUACUGCAGGCUAUUCCAGACUUGUGUUCUGUGUGUGCCAACUGCCAACGUGGGUGCACAUUGGUCUUUGUAUUUACUUGGAAUCUUCCAUCACUCAGGGCUGUUCAAAUCAAUACCAAAAUUAACCUUUUCAAAAUUUGACAAUACCAAAAAUAAAUUUGGUAUGUUGGUAGCAUUAAAGUUUUGAUAGGAUAGCUUAAUGUGAUGGAUCUAGGGGAAAAAAACAAAGAUGAUGGAGGGACGGAGCCAGGAAUUGGAGCUACCAAGGUCAUAUCGUAGCUACAUUGUACUAUACUAUCUAUACUAUACCAAGGUCAUAACGAUGUUUUCAUGAGCCUAGCGGCCCCAAUAUUUUGCUUAUUCAGGAAAUAAGCCAAAUGACAUAUUUGCAAGCGAAAAAUAAAAUUUAUGAAUAAAACUUUUAUAUAUGUGUUUUUAAUGAUCUAAAAGCAAAUGCUGAAAAAUAAGCUUCGACAGGCCCGGCUCUGGGGCAGGGCAAAGAGGGCGACGCCUAGGACCCGUUUUGGCUAGGGGCCCAUGCCUAAAUGAGUACUGUAUGAGCCAAAGUGGUAUUUAAUAUUAGUGAAUAAUUCCAUACUAUCUACUACUCCUGGUUAUCUACAUAAUUCUGAUUAGUGAAUUAAUAAAGAUUCCAGAUUCAACAAUCAAAAUUGUAUGUAUAGAUAGAUUCUUGUUCAUAAUAUAUAUUUCCUUAAUAAUUUUAGGUGCUGAAAAGCUGUAAUUUUACUCAAGAUGCAUUUUUAUGGUGCUAAGUAAAUGGGAAAAAUAAACAAAAUCAGUUUAAGUGUUGAUAUUUUUCUAUUUCUUUGAACAUAUAUAUAUGAAAUAUUUUCAAUGUUCAUUUUUCUCUAUGAUUAGAUUUGAAAACACACUUUAAAAUUAAAGGGGUUGUUCAGAUUGUAGCCAAAAUAAAUCUAACCAAAUUUUUGCAAUGCUAAAAUUUUGACAAUCUAGCAAUAUUGCCAAGUUUUAGUAGGAUUUCUUACGUAUUUACUAAAGUUUGGUAAUUAACUAAAUAAAUGCACAUCAUUGACAAUUUUGAUAUGGUUUGAAAUGUCAUUAAUCUAAACAACCAAAAAGCGUGAAUAUACAUAUAACACGUCUCUCUGUAGGGGAGAGAGGGUUAAGGGUCAUGUUAUCAAGUUUGCCCUAGGGCCCUCAAAAUUGUAGAGCCGGCCUUGAACUUCGAUAAAAAAAAACCAAAAUCAUCUAUAGAUUUAAGGUUUAAAAUUUAAAUUUUAGCUAAUAAACAUAAGAAUAAACGAAAAGAUUAGGCUAUAAAUGAGACACUUCACUUUCUACUGUCAGAUUAUGGUUUUCCUCCUUGUGAUUUAACAAUACUAACAUUGAAAACAUAUUGAGAGAGAUCACUAAUAAAUCAUACUAGUAUCUUACUAUACUAUCUACUCCACUAGUAAGAAAAGUUAUUCUUAUGCAAACUUUAAAGCACAUAGAACUGCUUUGAGUUUUUUACACCACUAUACGGUGCUACGAUAUAAACCUAAUGAAAAAGUAAUGUUGCUAACAAUCCUUUUCUCUAGCUACAUUUCUACUAAUUAUUUAACUGAUAACAAAACGCAAAUCAGCCGAGUGAAAGUAGGUUGAUUCUACCAAAUUAUUGGCAAACAAAACUAUAAGAAAUAAGUUGAGUAACCAAAGAAAACUGGGUUUGUGUAGACGUGAUCCUAGCUAAUGCGUGAAACAAUAUUGCAGCUUUCCCAAGACAAUCUAUUUUUUUUACGCUACAAUAAAUCGUUACUUCCUUCGUCCCAAAAUAUUAACAUUUAGGAAAAUUUGCCAUAGGACACCCAAAUUUCGUGUAAUUAGCUAGGAGACAUCAUAAAAUCGCGUCGUUGCUGAUGGACACCAUAAAAUUCGUAAAAUUUGCUAUAGGACACCAGAGACAAUAUUUUAUUAUUUCCGAGCAAAAACAGGAGAGAGAAAUUUUAAAAAGACAAAAUUGCCCUCAGCCCUAUCUAACCCCACUAGAGUCACACUUUUGCCCCUCACGCCCCCCAGCCGCCCCGUCCACACCCCUAACCCGGCGCAGAGAGGCCUGGUGCUGAUUUCGAUGACUACUGGUGAGCCCCGGGGUAGCGGCUUCGGCAGUGGUUGGCGAGCUUGGCGAUGGCUUCGAUGAUGGUCGACGAGCCCGGCAACAACGGCUUCAACGACAAUGGUGGCGGCGGAGGCCACGGCUUCGACGAUGGCCGACGGCAGCGGCGGGUUCGACUGCGGUUAGUGAGCAGCGCUAGGAAGCGCGUGGCGACGACGGCUUUGAUGACAGUCAACGAGCCCGGUGGCAGUGGAUUCGACAGUGGCGGUGAUGGCGGAGGCAACAGCGCUGGGAAGCGGGCGGUGGCGGCGGUGGCUUCAAUGAUGGUCGGCAAGCCCGACGACAACAAUUUCGACGGUGGCAGUGAUAGCGGAGGCAGCAGCAAGCGGCGUUGGGAAAUGGGCGGCGGUGACAACUUCGAUGACGGUCAAAAAGCCCGGCGGCGGUUGGCGAGCAGAGCUGGGAAACAACUGCGACAAUGGGGAAUAGAUAGGGCUAAGGGCGAUUUUGUCUUUUUGAUAUUUCUCUCUCCUCUUUUUGAUAAGAAAUGAUAAAAUAUUAUCUCGGGUGUCCUACAACAAAUUACACAAAAUUUAUGGUGUCCAUCAGCAGCGACGUGAUUUUUCAAUGUCUCCUAGCCAAUUACACAAUUUUUAAGUGUCCUAGGGCAAAUUUUGCCAACAUUGUUUAGGUUGGCAAGUGUAUUAAGAAAGCACUACGUGAAAAUGAUUGGAGAAAGUAUAUGCUUGAUUGAAAAGAAAAAAUAUGUGAAGGAUAGUUAUUGUGAUUGGUUGAGAAGAGGAGGUAUGCAGAGAAAUAACUUUAUUUUUAUGACAAUAUACAUACUGUGAUAGAAAUAGUUAUAUUUGGGACGUACUCCGUAGUUUUCUGGGUUAGCGAGCCUGUACCGAUAGGGUCAUUGAUUUAAAAACAGAGAGUAAAACAUUGAUUUGGUUAAAUGUCUCGGUGUCAUCUAACCCUAUGGGAGUAUUGUAGCUCCGCCCUUGGACGCAGUAAAAAUUCCCCUGAUCUCAACUUCCCAAUUAACACCGGUAAUGGGGACUUGACACUUGAGCAUUGAGCUCCUAUUGCCCUCAUAGCAGAUCCGUUAAUGUCACCAAGGUUACGGUUAUCACCAAGGGCCGAGUUUAGUUUUAAAUUUUUUCUUCAAACUUCUAACUUUUUCUUCACAUCAAAACUUUCCUACACACACAAAAAUCUAUCUUUUCCGUCACAUUGUUCCAAUUUCAAUCAAACUCUCAAUUUUGACGUAAACUAAACACGCUCAAGAUGAAGUAACCAUAGAAUCUAACCUAGUACCAAAGUCAAAACCAACAGAAAUCUAAUUUGGACAAUUUGUUCGGUUUUUCCAUCGUCAACACAUGGUUGCGAAGCGGCACGAAACUUCGAAGCUACUGGGAAGAAAUUCGGAACGGCACGAAACUCUUUUUUGUUCUUUUCGCAUGAAACAAAAAAAAAAAAAGAGAAGCCAAUCUGAUGGACGAGAGAUGAAGCAAACCUCAGCCGUCCAUUUGUCUCCCACACACAAAAGCAUAUUCUGAUAUUCCCAUCCACGUCAGCAUUUCCCCACCCCAAACACGCGAUCCCCAUUGGCCCCCCGCGAAUCCAAACCUCGCCGCUCCAAACACUGACACCCCCGGCCCCACCUGCCAGCCUCCCCACCAACCGCCACGUCAGCGUGCUUCACGCGUGACGUCACGUCGUCGUCUUCUCCGUCUCCUCUCCUCUUCUUCCUCUCGCCAUCUCACUCGACUCGCCCAAGAACUCGGAGGUGUUCGACGCGGUCGCCGCCGCAGCAGCAGCGAGCCAUGGAGGCGAGGGCGUCGCCGUCUCCGUCGCCGCAGCGGCCUGCGUCGAUGGGUAGAGGCGGCGGAGGAGGCGGAGGAGGAGGGGACGCGAGCGCGGCGCUGUCGUUCAUCUACAAGGGGUGGAGGGAGGUGCGGGACUCGGCGAGCGCGGACCUGCGGCUGAUGCGUGCGCGGGCGGACUCGCUGCGCACGCUCGCCGACCGGGAGCUGGAGCACCUCCUGGUGUCGGCGUCCACCACGGUGGCGGCGCCCGCGCCGCCCGUCGCGGCGGGGGCGCCCAUCGCGGAGGUGGAGUUCGUGCGCAACCGGAUCCAGCCCAAGAUCUCCGAGCUGCGGCGCCAGUACGCGGCGUCCGGGGACUGGGAGCUCGGCCUCGGCAGGAGGGUGCUCGAGGGCUGGGUGGCGCCUCCGCCGCCCAGGGGCGCCACCACCGCCCGCGUCGACCUCUCCGGGAUCACCGCCAUACGCAACGCCCUCGUCCCUGAGGUCGCCGGCGGCGGCGGGGCGAGCACCGCCUGGUGGAGCGGGGAUGAGAUGGAGGAGGAGGAGGAGAAGGAGUGGGAGGUGGUGAGGAUGAUUCGCGGCGGCCUCAAGGAAUUGGAGCGCCGCAGCCAGAGCAGCGGCGAGAUCUUGGGGGGAAUCCCUGGCCCCAGCGAGCUCGUCGAGAAAUUCAAGUCCAGACUGGUAAUUUCCGCCCUAAACCUAAUUGUUUCUCUUAUGCAAGUUCUUUGUAUGAAAAAAAAAAACAAGAAUUCGAGACUUGGUACUUGCAUGACCUGUAUACAAAGCAAUAACAGUAGAACAAUCUGUUAAUGAGUGGUGAUUGCUAAAAGGGACUUGCUCGCAUUGCGAGCUCACUCUCAUGCCAAUCUCAGAUGCUGGCCGAAUGUAAAAAUUAAUUUUAAAAUGUAAGGAAAAAUUAUAGCUACAAACCCUAGUAAGAAAAUGUAGGCAAUAAUUUAUGAUUGCUAUCUUCAUUUUUAGUUCAUUCUUACAAAAGUAUAAGCAUGAUUUUUAGUUCUUUGUGUGCCAAUGUAUAUGAUUCCUAACUUGAUUACUAUAUAUCUUGAUUGAAUGAUUAUGUCAUUUGGUUCAUCCAAUUAGAAAAAAAAAGGUGGUGUUGUCACAAGUGUUUGUUUUAAGAGCAAAAGGUGCUAUCUGGCUUAAUCACAUUCUCACCUAUAUUUGUUCCCUUGGUGCAGAAAUCAUUUAACAUGGAGCCUCUUGGAUCCAAGGUAACUCCACAAACCAUAAAAUUAAUAUGACUAUAACUAUACUGUUUACUGAUAGAACAUUCAUUUACCAUCUGAAGACAUCCCUUUGCAUUAUAUGAUUACAUUAUUUCAAAACAAUUCUGGGGAAAUCAACGUUCAGUAAAUUUUUUCCCUCUAUGAUAUGAUGAACUGCAGCAAUCUGGUGUCAAGGAAUCCUCUGCCUUCAAAGGCACCAUGCCUUUGUCACUGAUAGGUGGGCCCAUGGUUCAUCGGGCCCACAUGUCAGUGACAUAGGCACAUACCUUUGAAGGUAGAGGAGCCUGAUCCGUCAAGGAACAUGCCAUGAGAAGGGAACUAGACUUUAAAUCUGUAUAGACACUGUUAGAUGAUAAAUGGAUUUUCAUCCAGUGCCUCAUUUCUCCUGAAAAGUGCCUAGUCUUAAACUCUUUAGUUAUAUACUGCUUAGUUAUGCCUUAAUAUGGAAUGAUAGUGUGAAUAAGUAGGAUGUUUCAUAAAAGAAAGCAACCAACAGUCCUAUCAAAAGACACUCUAUAGCCAAAUUUUUGUUCUGAACUUUUGAUGCUUGGUUAACAUCAUUGCAUGUAUAAUCUUUGAGCAUAAUAAUGCAGGAAGUUCCUCCUCUUGAUCUGACUGAAAUUAUGGCAAAUCUAGUUAGGCAAUCUGGGCCCUUUUUGGAUCAACUUGGUCUAAGGAGAGGUAUGCAUAAAAAGCAACACUGUUGUAUUUCAUUCCAUUUAUUAGGUGAUGGCCCUCUUAUAUGCUAUUGGUACUAUGGUGCAGAACUACGUGACAAACUAGUGGAGACAUUGUAUAGCAGACAAAAUCAUUCCCUUUCAGCAGAUUCAUCCUUACUCGGAGAUGAUAACUCAACGGAUGAGCUUGAUUUAAGAAUUGCUAGUGUGCUACAAAGUACUGGUUAUCAUACAGAUGAUGGUUUAUGGAACGAACCUUCAAAAUACGAGGUUUCAGACAAUAAAAGGCAUGUUGCAAUAGUCACCACAGCAAGCCUACCAUGGAUGACAGGAACAGCAGUUAAUCCAUUGUUCCGGGCAGCAUAUUUGGCAAGAAACUCAAAACAGGAUGUCACACUGGUGGUGCCUUGGCUUUGCAAGUCAGAUCAAGAACUUGUGUAUCCAAAUAGCAUGACCUUCAGUUCACCAGAAGAGCAGGAAACAUAUAUAAAGAAGUGGCUGGAGGAAAGGCUUGGGUUUGAAUCAAACUUCAAGAUAUCAUUUUAUCCUGGCAAGGUAACUAUCAUACAUUUUUUUGUCAAGGUGCAUAUCUUGAAUAACUCAACUGAUAUGCUGUAUGCCGUACCCUGCAGUUCUCCAAAGAGCGCCGUAGCAUCAUUCCUGCUGGGGAUACAUCACAGUUCAUUUCAUCGAGAGAAGCUGAUAUAGCAAUAUUGGAAGAACCAGAGCAUCUGAACUGGUAUCAUCAUGGGAAUCGUUGGACUGACAAGUUCAAUCAUGUAGUUGGCGUAGUUCAUACGAAUUACCUAGAAUAUAUCAAGAGAGAGAAGAAUGGUGCUCUUCAAGCUUUCCUGGUCAAACACAUCAACAAUUGGGUGACCAGAGCAUACUGCGAUAAGGUGCUGUAUCUAGCUCAACUUGUUCUGGUAUCAUCUGGAUGCACUUCAGUUUCAGUAUUGCUAAUGAAUGGCUUAUGCAGGUUUUACGUCUGUCUGCAGCAACUCAGGAUCUUCCUAAGUCUAUUAUUUGCAACGUCCAUGGUGUAAAUCCAAAGUUCCUUAAGAUUGGAGAUAAAAUAAUGGCCGAUAGGGAGAAUGGGCAGCAAUCAUUUUCCAAGGGAGCAUAUUUUCUGGGCAAAAUGGUAUGGGCCAAAGGUUACCGGGAACUGUUAGAUUUGUUGGAUAAACGUAAAAGCGACUUGCAAGGAUUCAAGUUGGAUGUAUAUGGAAGUGGCGAGGACUCACAAGAAGUCCAAUCUACCGCCAAGAAACUGAACCUGAAUCUAAACUUUUUUAAGGGAAGGGACCAUGCAGAUGACUCACUCCAUGGGUAUGUAUCACUCAAGAAAAACAGUGUGCUCUCAGGUUCCAUAUCAUUUCAUCAUCUGUGUUUACCUUUUGGUGAUCACUGAUCCAGCUGCCUUUCUUUUGUGCUACUUUCAGGUACAAGGUAUUCAUCAACCCGAGCAUCAGUGAUGUCCUGUGCACAGCAACAGCGGAAGCUCUCGCGAUGGGGAAGUUCGUCAUCUGCGCGGAGCAUCCAUCGAACGAGUUCUUCAUGUCGUUCCCGAACUGCCUGACGUACAGGACCCCGGAGGAGUUCGUCGCCAGGGUGAACGAGGCCAUGGCCAGGGAACCCCAGCCUCUCACCCCGGAGCAAAGGUACAACCUGUCGUGGGAGGCAGCAACCGAGAGGUUCAUGGAGUACUCAGACCUCGACAAGGUUCUCAGCCAACCUGUUACAGAAGGCGUGCACAGAAGCAAGACGAGAAGAACAAUUCAGAGUAAUCUGUCGGACGCCAUGGAUGGAGGAUUGGCGUUUGCUCACCACUGCCUAACUGGUAGCGAGGUUCUCAGGCUGGCAACGGGAGCGAUUCCUGGUACGCGCGACUACGACAAGCAACACUGCGUGGACAUGGGCCUCCUGCCGCCUCAAGUGCAGCACCCUGUAUAUGGUUGGUGAAGUAAACCAAACCUGCAUCUGCAUGCACUAAGUUACUGGAUAGUUUGUAGGUACAUAUGUACUGUACAUGACAAGUCAUGUAGAUCUUUGUAAAGUCUCGUACUGUAACAUGGGUAACUAGUCUAAGCUAUUGUUGUCAUUGUAUUGUACUGCUUGUAGUAAUAUUGUUUUUUGUCAGUAAAAUUGGAGCUUCAAGUAUAUAUGGUACGUUGGUACUAGGUUCCUUGUCAACAUGAAGCUCUCCUUUGUGCAGACAGCAAGUUAAUGGUAUAUACCUUUUCAAAGAGUGGGAGAAAACCUAACUUUGUAAAUAGAACAUGUGAUGAAAACAAGGUGUGGUUGGAUGCCUGAAAGGAUCCAGUUAGCUACUGAUAGUUGUAUGGUGGGUGUUCUAAGAAAUAUUAAGGUUAGAUUUAAACUGUUUUAUCGAAUUUUCAAAUUACUUCUUGUUUUAGGUUUGUUCUAAGUCCAGGGCUGGUUCUAUGAUUUUGAGGGCCCUAGGUGAACUCAUUGUGAUGGGACCUCUAAGCUAUACAUAAAAUUUUAUAAUAUAUAUGUAGACACUAAUUUUACUUGUAAAACGAAAACAAAUAUAUCCAUAUAUUAAAUUUAACAUGUCUGGUAAUUAUCAAGAAAUUAAGUCGACUAAAAUAACAAUAUAUUUGUACCUUGGAACUAAUAUCAUUAUUCAUUAACCUAAUGAAGAAUAGAACCCCAUCAUAUCCAUUGUUUCCCGUGAAAAGAUACUUCUUUGGGCAUAUCUUGAUGCAAAAUUAUCAAGAAACGGUAUUAAGAUCAAUAGUGUCCAAGAUAUCCUUCUCGAUUGAGCACAUAGCCAAGCCAUUUAACCUUUCUUGCGAUAUAGUUAAUCUCAAAUAGUUCUUCAACAACUUCAAUUUUGAGAAACUUCUUUCAGCUGAAGCUACUGUCACAGGUACAGUUUACAGAAUUCGAUAGGCAACUGAAAUAUUUGGAUAGCAAUCUGCAUCCAUAACAAAUUUUAGAAUCUCAAGCACGGACAUCGAAGAAUCUGGCAAACUCACUUACAGCACCUUUUAAUUCUGAAUAAAAAUCAUUGAUCUCAACAUCGGAUGAGGUACUAGACUAGUAUUAGGUGUUGACUCCCCUCCCCCCACACCAUCAUGGCCCCCGGCAAUCACCUCGGCUGCAUAGGGCCAAGUCAAACAUACGUAUUUAACGUCAACUUUUAGAAAUUCAUAUACUUUAGCAUCAUAAGAUUUAUGUUUUAGAUUUAUUAUGAGAAAUGCUUUCAUAAUACAUAAUUCACAUAUUAUUAACCUACCAAAACUUUUAAAAAUUAGUGGUGAAAUAACAUCUUUUUGGCUUGGGACAAAUCUAUAACGUUUUACAUAUGGAAAAAAGGGGUCUGCGAUCUGUACAGUCUGUGUUUAGUUUGACAUUGUUCUUGCUGAAUUUGCAUGUUGUAGUCAACCAUAGCGUAUACAAUUAAGCAUAUUUCUACGUCAACGCAUCUCCACAUUAGAUGGUUGUGCAGGUUCUACACGGACUCAAUGAUUGCACACUCACCACCGCCACCCAACUAUAAGUGAUGAUCGAUUAAUUAACACAUCGCCGACCCACUCAAUGAUGCCUAAAAGUCUUGAGGAUUUAAUGGAGAGAAGAUUCAGUAGCUAGCCUAGCACUGACGAUAUCUCCAUAUACUAUCAUGCAUCACUCUCACACUCUGCGAAUUAAUCAACAAAUUAAGCAACUUACUCCAUCGGUCUUAUCAGGAACAGCGUGUCUUACUGCAGAUUAUAUUAAUUACUACUACUACUUUUCUGCAGUAGUAGCAUUUUGCAUCACUCAUCAUGUAUUAAUCCAACAUGGAAUGGGCUUAGCUGCAACUUGCAAUUAAGCAGCAUCUCCCAAGCUUGUGCAUGUGCAUAUUGAUGAAAAUUCUGCAUUGAAAUUUCGUAAGAUUUGCAUGGUUUUUGACUUGGUUUUGAUCCGGAUCAUGUCACAUCAUGUGCGGUGGCGACGCGCCGGCGCCUGCAUCAAGUGUAUCUAGCUGAAUGUUACCAGAUCUGUGCAGCUAGCUAGCUUUGGAGACUGGUUUACCUUUCAGAGUGCAUAAUAUAUCUCCAAGAUAAGAGUCAGAGAACAUCAAAGCAAAAUAAAAGGGAUAAUAUGUAAUGUGGUACAACUGAAUUGUCGCCCUGUACUUAUCCUGGUUGAGUACCCAUUUAACAAGGAUAAACAUCUGACUGUUUUAUCAUGUCUGUCGCCUGGUGAUUGAUUAGAUCAUCUUAACUCCAAAUACGUCUGAGUUUUUAACAGGUCCUUCGGCACAGAAUCAAUAAUUGGUUUUCUACCGUCUAAGUCAGGUUUGAUUUGUUCAUAUGUCAUUAUAUUAAUUGAUCCCUUCGAUCAUAAAAACAUAUCAUUUUGGACAUUGAUAUGGUCUUCGGAAUAUAACUUUAUCCACAAAUUUAUACGGCGGAACAUUAAAAAACCCAAUAAAAUUAUAGCAUUACGGAAGUCAAAUGUCACAUGUAGUUUUCAUUCAUCCAAUCCAAAUAUUUAAUCAAAAUUUUAAAGUUUGACUUAAAACAUAUCCAAAACAACAUGCCUUCAAGACCGAAGGGAGUAUGAAACUUAGAAUUACCUAGCUAAACUAGCACCUUGAACCGCUGUCCAUGGAUGCAGAUGCAGGUUAUACACUUUGAGUCAGAAACCAUCGGAGCAGAGGAAAGGCCUGAGAUAAGCAUUUGACGUGGAGGUUUAUUUUAGGUUUGACAAAUUGACGUACUACAAACAAUCAUGAAUAUCAUAUUUGUUGUUUCAUUCAAACCAUCAGAUGUGUAACACUUAAUUAUAGUGUAAUUUUUAUCGCCUCUUUUGAGGACCUUUUGGUUAUGUACGAGAGAAAAGGUCGCCUAAAAGAAAAAGGAAAACUAUACACAGAGUGAACAGCUGAUAGAUUCGGCUGUAUGAUUUUCUUUUUCUCCCCUCCAAAUAUGAAGAAAAGGUCUUCUAUAAAAGAAACAAAACUACGCAAAGUGAACGGCUGAUAGAUUCGGCUGUGUAAUUUUUUUCGCUCCAAAUUAAAUAUGAAGAAAAGGUCAUGGCCGGUUGAGCCAAAUGUGACUAACUACACACUCUUAACUUUAUUUUAGUUUGUUCUCUCUGAUUCAGUAACUCCAAUUUCCGAUUAACAAUAUUUUUUACUUGGCUGCUUCAAGUGAUCUAGAAGCAAUCAAUCAAGAAUGGUGGAGAGAAAAAUUCAGAUGCAGAAAAGGUAUCUGCUAAUUUCUUCCGGUGGCAUUACGGUCAUGAAGCAAAAGUAACCAGCACACCAAAUUAUUCUAAAAUCCAAUAUAGUACUAUCAGUCUAAUUAAUUGAUAGAAGGUGAUGCCACUGUUCAAUUAAUAUAAUGCACAAUUCAAUGAAAUUAUUCCAUGCAUAUUGAAUAAGAAAAUAAAUGAAGGACAAGGGAUCAGUGUCUUUGUACAUGUUAUGAGUCACUAACUUAAUUAUGGGAGAUGCCUAUCAAAUCCCAAGUUAAGAGCAAAAUGUUGGAUUUUUCAUAUUUGAGCUAUAUAUACAAAAGAAAGGCUGGGCAAGAUUAUGCAUAAACAGGUAGUCUAAAACAAAAUGGCAUGUAACAAAGCACAACUUAACAGCUUUAUAUCAUGUUAGUUUUUUUCCAAACAAAAUCAUAAUUACGUCAUAUUAGUCAGUGAAUAGUUAGACAGGACCAAAUAAAAGUAAAAAUACAUUUCAAGUCUCUAACUUAGCUAGAUGAAUUAAGGAUCCAAAACUAACGCAAGAAUGCAGCAUCCUUCCCUAUGCACAGUGACUCUGUAGUCCUAUCUGAAACUCCACAUCAUGACACAUGAAUAUCAUUUUGGUACGAAUCCACAUGAUCAACCCAAUAAUGUAUCAAGCUCUCUAUCUAAUAGGCUUUCGCAUGAAUGCUAUGGGCCUCAAAAUAGUGUCUUUAAUUAGAUGCUUUCUCCUCUUAUACAGCUUUCUACAUGCAUUAUUCUUGCUUGGUGUAAGAAGGUUAUACUGUAUCUUAAGCAACAUGCAAACUCUCAUAUUCAAUUUUCCCCUCCAAAUAACCUAGAAUCAUAUAAUUAGAUGGAGUAACUAUAAGAUUGUUGAUAAUGCCCAUAUGAAGCACAUCCCUAAAUUUGAAGUUUAAUGAAUAAUUAUCUUUUUGCGACCAUCUAUAUACUGGUAUUGUUCUGUCUAGCAUAGCUGUACACAAUCCUUUUGUAUUCACAGAGGGAAGCUGUGACCGACAUAACAUCAAAUUAAUUAAACACUUCAUUUGAGCAGGAACAGCGUGACCUAUUACAAAUAAAUCAACAAUUAUUUUUUCCCUUUGGUGAGCACAUUAAUUUGAUACAUGUAAUCUAGGCAAUGAAAGAUUUAUAGUGUAUUUUUGUACAGAAUUAAUGAAAGAUUUACAGUGUAUUUUGUACAUUCAGAUCAUAAACAAAUUAAAGAACUAAAAGUAAUCACAAAAUCUAAUUAACUACUAAGAGGAGUGCAAAUUAAAGCAUGUGCUCCUCUUAGCAAUUAAUAAUAAUUAAUAGAUCGGUGGAUGGAUGUGAUGGUGAUGAAAUGAUCAGGAGGGGUAAGAAGCCUUAAGGUGAGCUUGCAAGCAUGGCGAGUCCUUCCAAACCCUAGCGUUCGCCCUGAGCAUCUCCCUCGCCCUCGCCCUGGCGCGCUCGCCGCCGUCCGCCUGCAGCACCAGCAGCAGCUUCGCCACCACGCCGACGGCGAGCAUCUCCUGCAGCACGGCCGGCGUCGCCGCGUUCCUCGCGACGGCGUGGAGCGCGCGCACGGCGCUCUCGGUGGCCGCCGGCGACACCCGCAUCGCCCUCUUGGACACCACGGCGAGCCCCGCCGGGUGCGCCACCAGCUCCGACCUCCCCUCCGCGCACCCGCACAGGUGGUCGAUCGCCACCACCGCCAGCUCCGCCGCGCGCCGCCGCCCGCCGCCGCCCUCCUCGUCGAGGAGGAGCUCCACCAGCGCCGCCACCGCGCCGGCCUCCACCGCCUUCACGCGGUUCCGCCCCCACGGGCACAGCCGGCACAGCACGUGCAGCGCCGCCUUCACCGCCUUCGACGACACGCCGUCGGACACCACCCGGACCACCUCCUCCACCAGCUCGGGGCUCACCGCCAUCAGCCGCUCCGGCGGCAUCGCCGACGUCACCGCCUUCAGGAGGAGGAUGGCAUACGCGCGCGAACGGUAGCUCGGGCGGCGGAGCACGGAGGCGAGGGUGUCGAGGAAGCCGACGCCAUUGUCCUUGCCGAGGACGCGGCGCAGGGUGGGCUCGGACGGCUUGAGGGAGUAGAGCACGCCCAGGGCCUCCUCCUCCGGCGAGCUCGUCGACAUGGGGGAAUCGAUCACCGAGUCGAACAGGUCGUCGUCGUC